UGUAACUACAUAAAAAUCUUACGAGGAUUU
This 30-nucleotide non-coding RNA is filed under the name Mus musculus (house mouse). The record is from RNAcentral. Lineage: Eukaryota; Metazoa; Chordata; Mammalia; Rodentia; Muridae.